GAUGAACGCUGGCGGCGUGCCUAAUACAUGCAAGUCGAGCGAACGGACGAGAAGCUUGCUUUUCUGAUGUUAGCGGCGGACGGGUGAGUAACACGUGGAUAACCUACCUAUAAGACUGGGAUAACUUCGGGAAACCGGAGCUAAUACCGGAUAAUAUUUUGAACCGCAUGGUUCAAAAGUGAAAGACGGUCUUGCUGUCACUUAUAGAUGGAUCCGCGCUGCAUUAGCUAGUUGGUAAGGUAACGGCUUACCAAGGCAACGAUGCAUAGCCGACCUGAGAGGGUGAUCGGCCACACUGGAACUGAGACACGGUCCAGACUCCUACGUGAGGCAGCAGUAGGGAAUCUUCCGCAAUGGGCGAAAGCCUGACGGAGCAACGCCGCGUGAGUGAUGAAGGUCUUCGGAUCGUAAAACUCUGUUAUUAGGGAAGAACAUAUGUGUAAGUAACUGUGCACAUCUUGACGGUACCUAAUCAGAAAGCCACGGCUAACUACGUG
This 497-nucleotide ribosomal RNA is filed under the name uncultured bacterium. RNAcentral's name for it is "partial 16S ribosomal RNA". It matches the Rfam family "Bacterial small subunit ribosomal RNA", at positions 28 to 507 of the family's 1533-position model. The record is from RNAcentral.